Molecule: ribosomal RNA, 35 nt
Filed under: Fagus engleriana
Lineage: Eukaryota; Viridiplantae; Streptophyta; Magnoliopsida; Fagales; Fagaceae
Description: partial 25S ribosomal RNA
Source: RNAcentral
GCGACCCCAGGUCAGUCGGGACUACCCGCUGAGUU